GACGAACGCUGGCGGCGUGCUUAACACAUGCAAGUCGAACGGGCCCGCUCUCUUUUUUGGGGGUGGGUUGAGUGGCGAACGGGUGAGUAUCACGUGAGUAACCUGCCCCCUGCUCCUGGAUAACUGCUUGAAAGGGCGGCUAAUACGGGGUGUGCCGGCUGGUCCGCAUGGGCCUGGUCGGGAUAGUUUCAUCUUCGGGUGUUUCGGUGGGGGAUGGGCUCGCGGCCUAUCAGCUUGUUGGUGGGGUGAUGGCCCACCAAGGCGGUGACGGGUAGCCGGCCUGAGAGGGUGGGCGGCCACACUGGGACUGAGACACGGCCCAGACUCCUGCGGGAGGCAGCGGUGGGGGGUAUUGCACAAUGGGCGGAAGCCUGAUGCAGCGACGUCGCGUGAGGGAUGGAGGCCUUCGGGUUGUGAACCUCUUUCUCCGGUGGUGAAGGCCCUGUCCGUUGCGGCGGGGUUGACGGUAGCCGGGUAUGAAGCGCCGGCUAACUACGUG
RNAcentral lists this ribosomal RNA (499 nucleotides) under uncultured bacterium. RNAcentral's name for it is "partial 16S ribosomal RNA". It matches the Rfam family "Bacterial small subunit ribosomal RNA", at positions 28 to 507 of the family's 1533-position model. The record is from RNAcentral.